AUUGAACGCUGGCGGCAGGCCUAACACAUGCAAGUCGAACGAGUGGCGGACGGGUGAGUAAUGUCUGGGAAACUGCCCGAUGGAGGGGGAUAACUACUGGAAACGGUAGCUAAUACCGCCUACACUCAGAUGUGCCCAGAUGGGAUUAGCGUGUUGGUGGGGUAACGGCUCACAAGGGCGACGAUCCCUAGCUGGUCGGAGAGUAUGACCAGCAACACUGGAACUGAGACACGGUCCAGCCUCCUACGGGAGGAGUCAUGGGGGAAUAUUGGAAAAGGGGCGCAAGCCGGAUGAAGCCAUGCGGCGGGUAGGUAGAGGGCCUUCGGGUUGUAAAGUACGUUCAGCGGGGAGGCGUUACCCGCAGAAGAAGCACCGGCUAACUCCGUGCCAGCAGCCGCGGUAAUAC
Molecule: ribosomal RNA, 406 nt
Filed under: uncultured bacterium
Lineage: Bacteria
Description: partial 16S ribosomal RNA
Rfam family: Bacterial small subunit ribosomal RNA
Source: RNAcentral